GUUGAAACCACAUAUUAAGACUCUACAUGACAUGGUAGCUAUAGCCAACCCCACCUUUGAAGACACUAUGGCAGUGGAAACUGGGUUCUCAGACACCAAUCUGUGGCUAGAGUGGAUGAGGUACAACGCUAACUCACACAAUAAGACUAAUUGUUAUGUAUGUGGAGGAGCCAGGCCCCAUCUGGGUACAGUUCCUCUGAGUUUACGUCCUGAAGUAGAAUGAUGUGUUUUAAGUCUUUAUGCACAAUCCACCACAAAUUCCUCAACAUGUGAAUCGUGGAAAAAGGUUUACCCAAUCACUCAUGGAUACGUUAGGCCACCUGAUGAAGUCACAGUAUAUCCAGGUAAUUACACGUGUUACUCAAUACCUAAG
Pelobates cultripes (western spadefoot toad) is the source of this 373-nucleotide non-coding RNA. Lineage: Eukaryota; Metazoa; Chordata; Amphibia; Anura; Pelobatidae. The record is from the annotation of a GenBank genome assembly.